Molecule: long non-coding RNA, 979 nt
Filed under: Lupinus angustifolius (narrow-leaved blue lupine)
Lineage: Eukaryota; Viridiplantae; Streptophyta; Magnoliopsida; Fabales; Fabaceae
Description: long non-coding RNA (LANG_LNC000138)
Source: RNAcentral
AGAGAAGGAAAGGAAAAUUAGGAAGAAAAGGGAAGAAACAAAGUUUCUACAUAAACUCAUUAUCAGGUAACACUAAAACCCCUUAAAACUCCAUGAAUAAGGAAGAAUUAAAGGUAGAAUGAUAAAUGUUAAUUAUAGUUUAUACCUUGUGGAUCAUUUCUUGUUUUACUACAUAUUCUUUUAUAUAUAUAUAUAUAUAUAUGGUUCCAUCAUAAAUUGUUGCCAAUAACACACACCUGACUUUGCACUUCUAUAUACAAUUGUCUUAAUUAUGUGUUUGCUUUAUAUUUCAAAUUAAUUGAGAUUUAUGCUUAUGAAUGUUUAUGAGGCCCAAUAUUCUGAAAUUCCUAAUUUACAAUUGUAUUGUUUUGCUGCCAUACUAACAUUUCAAAUGAUUGAAUUGAAUUAUAUGCUAUAACAGGUAAAUAGAAUUAGUAGCAUACUUGAGUUUAUUAUCUAUUAUUGGUGGUACCUAUAUUACUAUCAUUAUUAUUAUAGUAAAUGAAUGUCACUUUGAUAAUCAUGAUAUACGUAUACUAAUAUGUAUAUGUAAUAUUUCUACUAAACCUGUAAUUGAUGAACAGCUUUAAGCAUAUAUUUCUACUAAAGGCUAUUGUUUUAUUACACUAAACUAACAGCAUAUAUUCUCACAUUAGAGUUUAUAAAAAAAUUACAUAUUGUUCCUAGUUUUCUUUAUAUGAUGGACAUUGAAUAAAUGUUAUUUAUUAUGUUAUAUUUUGUUAUGUGAUGCUUAUACUUUUAUUUACUUAUAAUCAUAUCCAAUUAUGUUUAUUGUAAUGGGGUCUUUAAUCUGAUUAUGUUAACUGAUGAAGGGGAUCUUUAGAUCUAUUGACUGACCUGGGCACAGGCAACCGAAUUCUUAGUUACAUGAAGACGGGCUUAUCCCCAGAACAAAAAUGGGGUAAGACAUUCCUACGAACUCAGGGCACUGAGUGAGGGGCAGGCACCUCCAGCAGGC